Molecule: long non-coding RNA, 489 nt
Filed under: Heterocephalus glaber (naked mole-rat)
Lineage: Eukaryota; Metazoa; Chordata; Mammalia; Rodentia; Bathyergidae
Description: lncRNA (ENSHGLG00100040362.1)
Source: RNAcentral
GGCAGAAAGUUGAAGCACACAGGGAGAGCUAAGAGACUCUGCAGUGAAGACCCAGCAGACUACAGUGGUUGGACGCUAAGCAUAAUUUUCACAUCCCAGGCUCUCCUCAGAUAGGACAGACUCAGGAACGCAGCUUGCUUUCAAUGAUUUUUUACAGAUCUGAGGAACGGUGAUCUAUGGUGAUGUAAACAAAUGACUGACUAAAUAAAUAAUAAUUGUUCUAUAUGAUUCGGAUACAUACAAAACAGUGGAGGAAGAAUCAAUCAAUUGAGCUUUGACAAUUGGCAGCCCAUGUAGAAAAAACAAGACAUUGGUAAGUUAUUCUAUAUCAGAACCAAAAAUAAAUUACAGAUUGGUUAAAAAUUUAAAUGUGAAAAUAACUAUAAACUUUUGAACUUCAAAAAAAAAAAUAGCCAACAGGACCUUUAUCAGCCCAAUUAAGGUAAGCAGGCAAGAACCUGAAUGGACAUUAUCAAAAACUUAUACCGU